UACAGAGGUCUCAAGCGUUGUUCGGAUUCAUUGGGCGUAAAGCGCACGUAGGUGGCGACGUAAGUCGGGUGUGAAAGCCCCGGGCUCAACCUGGGAAUUGCAUUCGAGACUGCAUUGCUGGAGUACGGAAGAGGAAGGCGGAAUUCCCGGUGUAGCGGUGAAAUGCGUAGAUAUCGGGAGGAACAUCAGUGGCGAAGGCGGCCUUCUGGUCCAGUACUGACACUCAAGUGCGAAAGCGUGGGGAGCAAACAGG
Molecule: ribosomal RNA, 253 nt
Filed under: uncultured bacterium
Lineage: Bacteria
Description: partial 16S ribosomal RNA
Rfam family: Bacterial small subunit ribosomal RNA
Source: RNAcentral